CCUUUCUAAGGAUGAUCAAGAAUUGGAAGCCUUUCAAAAAAGAAAUCUUUAUAAAUAGAGAAAUCUUUAUAAAAAGUCCCUUCCUUUUUGAUCUGAUUAGACAUAAAGGUUUAAAUCCGUCCGUUUAAAUAACCAGACAGUUUAAACCUUGUGCAUAUGAACACGCAGUUGAAAAAUGGUUCUUUCUUUCAAAGAGGCCCCUACCUCUCAUGAGAGAAACGUCCUUUCCAAGCUGCUGUGCUCAUGUGUUAAGUUAUACAAGCAGGCUAGCCGUCUUCGUUUCUCUUUCUUCAGAUGAUGAUCCCAAGCCUUCUGGCGAUCUAGAAAAAACAAGCCCUGUCUUGAGUUUUCAGAGACAACACUGCUGUUUUUAUAAAAUGAUGUGGUUUUUAUAAAAUAAGGUGUUUUUAUCAGAUAAUGCCGGGGAAGGUUUUCCGGUUUAUCCCGGAGGGCUUGUAGCUCAGUUGGUUAGAGCGCGCGCUUGAUAAGCGUGAGGUCGGAGGUUCAAGUCCUCCCAGGCCCACCAAUUAUUCCAUCCCGUUAGGCAGUGCUUAUGACACUUUUAUAGAAGGAUAUAAAUAUAAAAGGAUAGAAAAGCGUUCUGUAUAAAAGGCUAAAAGAGUUCUAUAUAAAGGAUUGGACGCUUAUCCGUUUCGCUUAAGCACGCCAAAGUUAAAGCGGCUCAAACACAGAGCAAUGCAAAUUUUUCCGAAGUUUGCACUGUCUAUUUUAAAAAUGAGAAUCUGUUUUAACAGUUUGGAUGUUUUAUCCUGUUUUAGGGGCCGUAGCUCAGCUGGGAGAGCACCUGCUUUGCAAGCAGGGGGUCGUCGGUUCGAUCCCGUCCGGCUCCACCAUUUGGUCAUCAUCAUUGUUGUGAGAACAGUCUUUGUAAAAGGUUUUUUGACCUUUUGCGUGUUCUAUUGAAAUUGUGAAGAGAAGAUAUAUUCAGACAAGUUCCUUUUGAGAGGUUGCUUCUGAAGAGCAAGUUUUUUCUUAAGAAAAAUGCUUUCUUGAGAAAAAGGUUUGUUGUCAGAAAAAGGUUUUUAAACAAGAUCUUGUAAAAGAGGUUUUGAAAAAGAAACCUUGCUCUCCUUUAUCUAAAGAAGAAACCUUUAUCUAAAAAAGAGACAUUGUGUCGCAAGGGAAUGCUCAAAGCCCUUGCUUAUGAUUGGAAGCUUAACCGCGCCACUGAGUAUAUCUCGAGAAGCUGGUCUUUUCUGCUGAUAUUUAUGUUUGUUUUGCGCUUUAUUUUGCACAAGAUGAAGAUGCAGACAAACAACAAAUGAUUAUAAACGAAGUGACUAUACAAUAAGUGAUUACGAAGAGUGAGUACUU
RNAcentral lists this transfer RNA (1335 nucleotides) under Bartonella jaculi. The stretch from base 450 to 523 matches the Rfam family "tRNA". The record is from RNAcentral. Lineage: Bacteria; Pseudomonadati; Pseudomonadota; Alphaproteobacteria; Hyphomicrobiales; Bartonellaceae.